This 253-nucleotide ribosomal RNA is filed under the name uncultured bacterium. RNAcentral's name for it is "partial 16S ribosomal RNA". It matches the Rfam family "Bacterial small subunit ribosomal RNA", at positions 524 to 776 of the family's 1533-position model. The record is from RNAcentral.
UACAGAGGGUGCAAGCGUUAAUCGGAAUUAUUGGGCGUAAAGGGCACGUAGGUGGCUACUUAAGUCUGAUGUGAAAGCCCUGGGCUUAACCUGGGAAUUGCGUUGGAAACUGAGUAGCUAGAGUCGGAGAGAGGGCCGUGGAAUUUCCGGUGUAGCAGUGAAAUGCGUAGAGAUCGGAAAGAACACCCGUGGCGAAGGCGGCGGCCUGGCUCCAGACUGACACUGAGGUGCGAAAGCAUGGGGAGCAAACAGG